GAUGAACGCUGGCGGCGUGCCUAAUACAUGCAAGUCGAGCGAACGGACGAGAAGCUUGCUUCUCUGAUGUUAGCGGCGGACGGGUGAGUAACACGUGGAUAACCUACCUAUAAGACUGGGAUAACUUCGGGAAACCGGAGCUAAUACCGGAUAAUAUUUUGAACCGCAUGGUUCAAAAGUGAAAGACGGUCUUGCUGUCACUUAUAGAUGGAUCCGCGCUGCAUUAGCUAGUUGGUAAGGUAACGGCUUACCAAGGCAACGAUGCAUAGCCGACCUGAGAGGGUGAUCGGCCACACUGGAACUGAGACACGGUCCAGACUCCUACGGGAGGCAGCAGUAGGGAAUCUUCCGCAAUGGGCGAAAGCCUGACGGAGCAACGCCGCGUGAGUGAUGAAGGUCUUCGGAUCGUAAAACUCUGUUAUUAGGGAAGAACAUAUGUGUAAGUAACAGUGCACAUCUUGACGGUACCUAAUCAGAAAGCCACGGCUAACUACGUG
This 497-nucleotide ribosomal RNA is filed under the name uncultured bacterium. Its description in RNAcentral is "partial 16S ribosomal RNA". It matches the Rfam family "Bacterial small subunit ribosomal RNA", at positions 28 to 507 of the family's 1533-position model. The record is from RNAcentral.